AACGAACGCUGGCGGCAGGCCUAACACAUGCAAGUCGAGCGCGCCCUUCGGGGUGAGCGGCGGACGGGUUAGUAACGCGUGGGAAUAUACCCGACACUAAGGAAUAGCCUCUGGAAACGGAGAGUAAUACCUUAUACGCCCUUCGGGGGAAAGAUUUAUCGGAUUUGGAUCGGCCCGCGUUAGAUUAGGUAGUUGGUGGGGUAACGGCCUACCAAGCCUACGAUCUAUAGCUGGUUUUAGAGGAUGAUCAGCAACACUGGGACUGAGACACGGCCCAGACUCCUACGGGAGGCAGCAGUGGGGAAUCUUGGACAAUGGGGGCAACCCUGAUCCAGCCAUGCCGCGUGAGUGAUGAAGGCCUUAGGGUCGUAAAGCUCUUUCGCCAGGGAUGAUAAUGACAGUACCUGGUAAAGAACCCGGCUAACU
Molecule: ribosomal RNA, 426 nt
Filed under: uncultured bacterium
Lineage: Bacteria
Description: bacterial SSU rRNA
Rfam family: Bacterial small subunit ribosomal RNA
Source: RNAcentral